Triticum urartu is the source of this 135-nucleotide non-coding RNA. NCBI's taxonomy places the organism in Eukaryota, Viridiplantae, Streptophyta, Magnoliopsida, Poales, Poaceae. The record is from Rfam.
AUAAUACUCCCUCCAUCCCAAAAUUCUUGUCUUAGAUUUGUCUAAAUAUGGAUGUAUCAAGUCACGUUUUAGUAUCGGAUACAUCCGUAUCUAGACUAAUCUAAGACAAGAAUUUUGGGACGGAGGGAGUAGUAU